AGACGGAGGGUGCUAGCGUUGUCCGGAAUUACUGGGCGUAAAGCGCUCGUAGGCGGUCGUAUACGGCGAUGGUGAAAGCUCCCGGCUCAACUGGGAGAGGCCCGUCGCAACGGUGUGACUCGAGGGUGGUAGAGGCAGAUGGAAUUCCUGGUGUAGCGGUGAAAUGCGUAGAGAUCAGGAGGAACACCCGUGGCGAAGGCGGUCUGCUGGGCCACACCUGACGCUGAGGAGCAAAAGCUAGGGGAGCGAACGGGAUUAGAUACCCCGGUAGUCCUAGCUGUAAACGAUGGAUACUAGGUGUCAGCGGUAUCGACCCCGCUGGUGCCGAAGCUAACGCGAUAAGUAUCCCGCCUGGGGAGUACGGCCGCAAGGUUGA
Molecule: ribosomal RNA, 376 nt
Filed under: uncultured bacterium
Lineage: Bacteria
Description: bacterial SSU rRNA
Rfam family: Bacterial small subunit ribosomal RNA
Source: RNAcentral